RNAcentral lists this ribosomal RNA (468 nucleotides) under uncultured bacterium. RNAcentral's name for it is "partial 16S ribosomal RNA". It matches the Rfam family "Bacterial small subunit ribosomal RNA", at positions 28 to 507 of the family's 1533-position model. The record is from RNAcentral.
GACGAACGCUGGCGGCGUGCCUAACACAUGCAAGUCGAACGGAAAGGCCCUGCUUUGGUGGGGUGCUCGAGUGGCGAACGGGUGAGUAACACGUGAGUAACCUGCCCUUGACUUUGGGAUAACUUCAGGAAACUGGGGCUAAUACCGGAUAGGAGCUCCUGCUGCAUGGUGGGGGUUGGAAAGUUUCGGCGGUUGGGGAUGGACUCGCGGCUUAUCAGCUUGUUGGUUGGGUAGUGGCUUACCAAGGCUUUGACGGGUAGCAGGGCUGAGAGGGUGAUCGGCCAAACUGGGACUGAGAUACGGCCCAGACUCCUACGGGAGGCAACGGUGGAGAAUAUUGCACAAUGGGCGGAAGCCUGAUGCAGCAACGCCGCGUGGGGUAUGACGGGCUUCGGGUUGUAAACCGCUGUCGCCUGUGACGAAGCGAGAGUGACGGUAAUGGGUGAAGAAGCACCGGCUAACUACGUG